Molecule: ribosomal RNA, 468 nt
Filed under: uncultured organism
Description: bacterial SSU rRNA
Rfam family: Bacterial small subunit ribosomal RNA
Source: RNAcentral
GAUGAACGCUAGCGGCAGGCUUAAUACAUGCAAGUCAAGGGGCCAGCAAUGGCACCGGCGGACGGGUGCGCAACGCGUACACAACAUACCUUUGAGAGGGGGACAGCAUUGGGAAACCGGUGGUAAUACCCCAUGAGAUCCUGUUGCGGCAUUGCGGCGGGAUGAAAGUUACGGCGCUCAAAGAUUGGUGUGCGUCUGAUUAGCUAGUUGGCGGGGUAACGGCCCACCAAGGCGACGAUCAGUAGGGGGUGUGAGAGCACGGCCCCCCACAUGGGUACUGAGACACGGACCCAACUCCUACGGGAGGCAGCAGUAAGGAAUAUUGGACAAUGGGCGGAAGCCUGAUCCAGCCAUGCCGCGUGAAGGACGAAGGCGCUCAGCGUUGUAAACUUCUUUUGGACGGGGACAAACCGCUCGACGCGUCGGGCGCUGAGGGUACCGUCAGAAUAAGCACCGGCUAACUCCGUG